RNAcentral lists this ribosomal RNA (892 nucleotides) under uncultured bacterium. Its description in RNAcentral is "bacterial SSU rRNA". It matches the Rfam family "Bacterial small subunit ribosomal RNA", at positions 89 to 983 of the family's 1533-position model. The record is from RNAcentral.
UGACGACCGGCGCACGGGUGCGGAACGCGUAUGGAACCUGCCCCUGUCAGGGGAAUAGCCCAGAGAAAUUUGGAUUAAUGCCCCAUGGUACCACCGAAUCGCAUGAUUUGGUGGUUAAAGAUUUAUCGGACAGGGAUGGCCAUGCGUGCCAUUAGCUUGUUGGUAAGGUAACGGCUUACCAAGGCAACGAUGGUUAGGGGCCCUGAGAGGGGGAUCCCCCACACUGGUACUGAGACACGGACCAGACUCCUACGGGAGGCAGCAGUGAGGAAUAUUGGACAAUGGCCGAAAGGUUGAUCCAGCCAUGCCGCGCGCAGGAUGACGGCCCUAUGGGUUGUAAACUGCUUUUGUACGGGAAGAAACCACCCCUCGUGAGGGGAACUGACGGUACCGUACGAAUAAGGACCGGCUAACUCCGUGCCAGCAGCCGCGGUAAUACGGAGGGUCCGAGCGUUAUCCGGAAUUAUUGGGUUUAAAGGGUCCGUAGGCGGGCCUAUAAGUCAGGGGUGAAAGGCCACGGCUCAACCGUGGGACUGCCCUUGAUACUGUAGGUCUUGAGUCGUUGUGGGGUUGCCGGAACAUGUGGUGUAGCGGUGAAAUGCAUAGAUAUCACAUAGAACACCGAUCGCGAAGGCAGGUGACCAACAACGUACUGACGCUGAUGGACGAAAGCGUGGGUAGCGAACGGGAUUAGAUACCCCGGUAGUCCACGCCGUAAACGAUGGAUACUAGCUGUCGGGUCUUCGGACUCGGCGGCCAAGCGAAAGUGAUAAGUAUCCCACCUGGGGAGUACGUUCGCAAGAAUGAAACUCAAAGGAAUUGACGGGGCCCGCACAAGCGGUGGAGCAUGUGGUUUAAUUCGAUGAUACGCGAGGAACCUUACCAGGCUUAA